Molecule: ribosomal RNA, 305 nt
Filed under: uncultured bacterium
Lineage: Bacteria
Description: bacterial SSU rRNA
Rfam family: Bacterial small subunit ribosomal RNA
Source: RNAcentral
GCCUACGGGGGGCAGCAGUGGGGAAUAUUGCGCAAUGGGCGAAAGCCUGACGCAGCGACGCCGCGUGAGGGAUGAAGGUCUUCGGAUCGUAAACCUCUGUCAGCAGGGAAGAACGGUCACUGUGCUAAUCAGCAGUGAAUUGACGGUACCUGCAAGGGAAGCACCGGCUAACUCCGUGCCAGCAGCCGCGGUAAUACGGAGGGUGCGAGCGUUAAUCGGAAUUACUGGGCGUAAAGCGCUCGUAGGCGGUAUGUCAUGUCAAGGGUGAAAUCCCCGCGCUCAACGUGGGAACUGCAUUUGAAACU